Molecule: long non-coding RNA, 145 nt
Organism: Sphaeramia orbicularis (orbiculate cardinalfish)
Lineage: Eukaryota; Metazoa; Chordata; Actinopteri; Kurtiformes; Apogonidae
Exons: 3
Source: RefSeq, a predicted model, not a curated record
CCAAAUAUCACAUCACACCUAACAAAAGAACUGGGUGAAGAACUUUAGGAAAAAUGGCACAUUUAUAUAACCUGUGAGACAAAUUUGUAAACCAUGAAGUCCAAAAAUUGUGUUGUUUGUGUAAGCAAUGUGAUCUUUGUAACCC